This 76-nucleotide transfer RNA is filed under the name Roseiflexus castenholzii. RNAcentral describes it as "tRNA-Thr". It matches the Rfam family "tRNA". Rfam says of the family: Transfer RNA (tRNA) molecules are approximately 80 nucleotides in length. Lineage: Bacteria; Bacillati; Chloroflexota; Chloroflexia; Chloroflexales; Roseiflexaceae. The record is from RNAcentral. RNAcentral also lists the same sequence under 1 other name.
GCCCAUGUAGCUCAGUAGGUAGAGCACGUCUUUGGUAAAGACGAGGUCACGGGUUCGAGUCCCGUCAUGGGCUCCA